RNAcentral lists this ribosomal RNA (406 nucleotides) under uncultured bacterium. RNAcentral's name for it is "partial 16S ribosomal RNA". It matches the Rfam family "Bacterial small subunit ribosomal RNA", at positions 30 to 526 of the family's 1533-position model. The record is from RNAcentral.
AUUGAACGCUAGCGGCAUGCUUUACACAUGCAAGUCGAACGAGUGGCGGACGGGUGAGUAAUAUAUAGGAACGUGCCCAGUAGCGGGGGAUAACUACUCGAAAGAGUCGCUAAUACCGCAUACUCUCGGAGUGGCCGAUAUCGGAUUAGCUAGUAGGUGGGUUAAUGGCUCACCUAGGCGACGAUCCCUAGCUGGUCUGAGAGGAUGAUCAGCAACACUGGAACUGAGACACGGCCCAGACUCCGACGGGAGGCAGAAGGGGGGAAUAUUGCACAAUGGGCGCAAGCCUGAUGCAGCCAUGCCGCGUGUAUGAAGAAGGCCCUAGGGUGGUAAAGUACGUUCAGUGGGGAGGCGUUACCGGCAGAAGAAGCACCGGCUAACUCCGUGCCAGCAGCCGCGGUAAUUC